AUGGAGAUAGCUGCUAAAGUUGGCGUGAUAUUUGAGAAAAUUCUUAAGGAGAAGGUGAAACCCCGCGAUGAGCAGGAACACGACAUGCGCCUUGAACAGGCAAUUUCAAUGGUGCUUGAGAGGCACCCUGAUCUCAACUCACCCCUUGCCAUCGCCAGGAGGAAAGUGCAGAUCGACGCUCGCGUCAUUGCUCCGUUCACCCCUUGCCAUCGCCAGGAGGAAAGUGCAGAUCGACGCUCGCGUCAUUGCUCCGUAGAGAGGAGCACGUCAUCGAGUCGGAUUCACCAUGCGAGGCACCUCUCCCGGCCGAUAUUGCGCCUCCCCAAGAUGCAGCGGCUGGCGCUCUGCCUUUGCAAGGAGGCGAGGAGCACCGACAGGUCCAGCAACCACCGUGCCCUAGCCUGUCCUCCAGCGAUUGGCUAG
Molecule: ribosomal RNA, 423 nt
Filed under: Triticum aestivum (bread wheat)
Lineage: Eukaryota; Viridiplantae; Streptophyta; Magnoliopsida; Poales; Poaceae
Description: partial small subunit ribosomal RNA
Source: RNAcentral